UUUGAGGAUGUUUAGAAAGCUCAUUGCGGGCUCUGCUGCUGUCUACUGGUCAACAAUAUAUGGCGUGGUCCUUUUGAUGUACGAUACCCCGCGACCCCGAAAGGGACAAGCGGUAGGAAAAUGGAUAGAUGGAUACAUGGCCGGUGUUGUGCCGAAUUCUGCACCCCCGCCGUAAAAUGCACCCCCUGUCGGGAGCGCGCUUACGUCACUCGGUUGCAUCACCCGUCUCGAAAAGUAGCUAAACUCGGCUAAAAUCGCCUCUUUCGGCAUAAAAAUGUACAUAACAAGGUGAAUAAUCCAAGUUGUCUUUACUUUGGAUAUAUUAAUGGAUGGAUUAAUUGUGAUUCUUUAAUGAUUUCGCCGCCAUUGCCUUUAAUGAUUUCGUCGUCAUUCAAUCGCCUCUUUCGGCAUAAAAAUGUACAUAACAAGGUGAAUAAUCCAAGUUGUCUUUACUUUGGAUUUAUUAAUGGAUGGAUUAAUUGUGAUUCUUCAAUGAUUUCGCCGUCAUUGCCUUUAAUGAUUUCGUCGUCAUUCAGAGACAUCAAGGAGAACGAAUGUUUGCUGCUUCACUCGACGGGAUCCAAUACAUGUAUUUUAAAAAUAUGACAUUUUCUUUAACUGUAAGAAGCUCAUGGGUGGAUAGAUGAAUACAUUAAUAAAUGAAUGCAUCUGA
Nerophis ophidion (straightnose pipefish) is the source of this 673-nucleotide long non-coding RNA. RefSeq lists it as uncharacterized. Lineage: Eukaryota; Metazoa; Chordata; Actinopteri; Syngnathiformes; Syngnathidae. The transcript is spliced from 2 exons. The record is from RefSeq and is a predicted model, not a curated record.